RNAcentral lists this ribosomal RNA (265 nucleotides) under uncultured archaeon. RNAcentral describes it as "partial 16S ribosomal RNA". It matches the Rfam family "Archaeal small subunit ribosomal RNA", at positions 716 to 982 of the family's 1478-position model. The record is from RNAcentral.
AGUCACUGACAUUAGAUACCCGCGUAGUCCAGGGUGUAAACGCUGCAGACUUGGUGUUGGAGGCCCUUUGGGGGCAUUCAGUGCCGGAGAGAAGUUGUUAAGUCUGCUACUUGGGAAGUACGGUCGCAAGGCUGAAACUUAAAGGAAUUGGCGGGGGAGCACCACAACGGGUGGAGCUUGCGGUUUAAUUGGAUUCAAUGCCGGAAAUCUUACCGGGACCGACAGCAACAUGAAGGCCAGGCUGAAGACUUUGCCGGAUUAGCUG